CAGCAGCCGCGGAAUACGUAGGGUGCAAGCGUUAAUCGGAAUUACUGGGCGUAAAGCGUGCGCAGGCGGUUUGUUAAGACAGAUGUGAAAUCCCCGGGCUCAACCUGGGAACUGCAUUUGUGACUGGCAGGCUAGAGUAUGGCAGAGGGGGGUGGAAUUCCGCGUGUAGCAGUGAAAUGCGUAGAUAUGCGGAGGAACACCGAUGGCGAAGGCAGCCCCCUGGGCCAAUACUGACGCUCAUGCACGAAAGCGUGGGGAGCAAACAGGAUUAGAUACCCGGGUAGUCCCUGUCUCUUAUACA
RNAcentral lists this ribosomal RNA (301 nucleotides) under uncultured bacterium. Its description in RNAcentral is "partial 16S ribosomal RNA". It matches the Rfam family "Bacterial small subunit ribosomal RNA", at positions 509 to 808 of the family's 1533-position model. The record is from RNAcentral.